Molecule: transfer RNA, 80 nt
Filed under: Pelotomaculum sp. PtaB.Bin104
Lineage: Bacteria; Bacillati; Bacillota; Clostridia; Eubacteriales; Desulfotomaculaceae
Description: tRNA-Leu
Source: RNAcentral
UGUCGGAGUGGUGGAACUGGCAGACGCGCAUUUGAGGGGCGUGUGGGUAACCGUACGGGUUUAAGUCCCGUCACCAACAA